RNAcentral lists this ribosomal RNA (460 nucleotides) under uncultured bacterium. Its description in RNAcentral is "partial 16S ribosomal RNA". It matches the Rfam family "Bacterial small subunit ribosomal RNA", at positions 338 to 795 of the family's 1533-position model. The record is from RNAcentral.
CCUACGGGCGGCAGCAGUGAGGAAUAUUGGUCAAUGGGCGAGAGCCUGAACCAGCCAAGUAGCGUGAAGGAUGAAUGCUCUACGGUUUGUAAACUUCUUUUAUAAGGGAAUAAAGUGAGGAACGUGUGCCUUUUUGUAUGUACUUUAUGAAUAAGGAUCGGCUAACUCCGUGCCAGCAGCCGCGGUAAUACGGAGGAUGCGAGCGUUAUCCGGAUUUAUUGGGUUUAAAGGGUGCGUAGGUGGUUUGUUAAGUCAGCUGUGAAAGUUUGUGCCUCAACCGUAAAAUUGCAAUUGAAACUGGCUGACUUGAGUAUAGUUGAGGUAGGCGGAAUGCGUGGUGUAGCGGUGAAAUGCAUAGAUAUCACGAAGAACUCCGAUUGCGAAGGCAGCUUACUAAACUAUAACUGACAUUGAUGCACGAAAGUGUGGGGAUCAAACAGGAUUAGAUACCCCUGUAGUC